UACGACGGGGGCUAGCGUUGCUCGGAAUCACUGGGCGUAAAGCGUGCGCAGGCGGUUAUAUAAGUCAGAUGUGAAAUCCCCGGGCUCAACCUGGGAACUGCAUUUGAGACUGUAUGGCUAGAGUGUGUCAGAGGGGGGUAGAAUUCCACGUGUAGCAGUGAAAUGCGUAGAUAUGUGGAGGAAUACCGAUGGCGAAGGCAGCCCCCUGGGAUGACACUGACGCUCAUGCACGAAAGCGUGGGGAGCAAACAGG
Molecule: ribosomal RNA, 253 nt
Filed under: uncultured bacterium
Lineage: Bacteria
Description: partial 16S ribosomal RNA
Rfam family: Bacterial small subunit ribosomal RNA
Source: RNAcentral